AACGAACGCUGGCGGCAUGCCUAACACAUGCAAGUCGAACGAGACCUUCGGGUCUAGUGGCGCACGGGUGCAUAACGCGUGGGAACCUGCCCUUAGGUUCGGAAUAACUCCCCGAAAGGGGUGCUAAUACCGGAUAAUGUCUUCGGACCAAAGAUUUAUCGCCUUUGGAUGGGCCCGCGUUGGAUUAGCUAGUUGGUAGGGUAAAAGCCUACCAAGGCGACGAUCCAUAGCUGGUCUGAGAGGAUGAUCAGCCACACUGGGACUGAGACACGGCCCAGACUCCUACGGGAGGCAGCAGUGGGGAAUAUUGGACAAUGGGCGAAAGCCUGAUCCAGCAAUGCCGCGUGAGUGAUGAAGGCCUUAGGGUUGUAAAGCUCUUUUAACCGGGAUGAUAAUGACAGUACCGGGAGAAUAAGCUCCGGCUAACUCCGUG
Molecule: ribosomal RNA, 433 nt
Filed under: uncultured bacterium
Lineage: Bacteria
Description: partial 16S ribosomal RNA
Rfam family: Bacterial small subunit ribosomal RNA
Source: RNAcentral